UGUAACAUCCUAUUAUUUUAUUAUUAUUUGGCAUUUUCGUAAUUUUAAUAAAGUUAUAGGGGAUUUUUGUAACUUGGGUCGUUCCAAGUUACAAAAAUACCCCUAUAACUUUAUUAAAAUUACGAAAAUGCCAAAUAAUAAUAAAAUAAUAGGAUGUUACA
This 161-nucleotide microRNA precursor is filed under the name Cajanus cajan (pigeon pea). RNAcentral's name for it is "miRNA gene-KK1_049310". The record is from RNAcentral. Lineage: Eukaryota; Viridiplantae; Streptophyta; Magnoliopsida; Fabales; Fabaceae.